This 246-nucleotide long non-coding RNA is filed under the name Elaeis guineensis (African oil palm). RNAcentral describes it as "long non-coding RNA (EGUI_LNC041080)". Lineage: Eukaryota; Viridiplantae; Streptophyta; Magnoliopsida; Arecales; Arecaceae. The record is from RNAcentral.
AUUCGGAUGAUCUAAUCAGGGUUGACAGUUUAACCCUGAGUCGUCCUAAACACAGGGGUCAAAAGGGAUGAAUUAUAUAGUAACCAUAUUCACGUAGGUUCUGAGUGUUGCGAUUGUGACUAUUUGACCUAUCCGAACAUCGGGUACCAUCGCUAGAUGGUCACUUCGAUUAGUACAGGAAUUGAUUUCUGUGCUACCGGCUUAGGAUCAAACUUGUGGGGUCAUACACAUUAGAGGUUCCUAUCU